ACGAACGCUGGCGGCGUGCCUAAUACAUGCAAGUAGAACGCUGAAGGCGGAGCUUGCUUCUCUGGAUGAGUUGCGAACGGGUGAGUAACGCGUAGGUAACCUGCCUGGUAGCGGGGGAUAACUAUUGGAAACGAUAGCUAAUACCGCAUAAUAGCAGUUGUUGCAUGACAACUGUUUGAAAGGUGCAAUUGCACCACUACCAGAUGGACCUGCGUUGUAUUAGCUAGUUGGUGGGGUAACGGCUCACCAAGGCGACGAUACAUAGCCGACCUGAGAGGGUGAUCGGCCACACUGGGACUGAGACACGGCCCAGACUCCUACGGGAGGCAGCAGUAGGGAAUCUUCGGCAAUGGACGGAAGUCUGACCGAGCAACGCCGCGUGAGUGAAGAAGGUUUUCGGAUCGUAAAGCUCUGUUGUAAGAGAAGAACGAGUGUGAGAGUGGAAAGUUCACACUGUGACGGUAUCUUACCAGAAAGGGACGGCUAACUACGUG
This 494-nucleotide ribosomal RNA is filed under the name uncultured bacterium. RNAcentral describes it as "partial 16S ribosomal RNA". It matches the Rfam family "Bacterial small subunit ribosomal RNA", at positions 29 to 507 of the family's 1533-position model. The record is from RNAcentral.